GACGAACUGUCCUAACGUUGUUCGGAAUCACUGGGCUUAAAGGGCGCGUAGGCGGUCCGACAAGUCAGGGGUGAAAUCCUGCAGCUUAACUGCAGAAGUGCCUUUGAUACUGUCGGUCUUGAGGGAGAUAGGGGUGUGCGGAACUCACAGUGGAGCGGCGAAAUGCGUUGAUAUUGUGAGGAACGCCGGAGGCGAAAGCGGCGCACUGGAUCUCUUCUGACGCUGAGGCGCGAAAGCUAGGGGAGCAAACGGG
RNAcentral lists this ribosomal RNA (253 nucleotides) under uncultured bacterium. Its description in RNAcentral is "partial 16S ribosomal RNA". It matches the Rfam family "Bacterial small subunit ribosomal RNA", at positions 524 to 776 of the family's 1533-position model. The record is from RNAcentral.